RNAcentral lists this ribosomal RNA (460 nucleotides) under uncultured bacterium. RNAcentral describes it as "partial 16S ribosomal RNA". It matches the Rfam family "Bacterial small subunit ribosomal RNA", at positions 338 to 795 of the family's 1533-position model. The record is from RNAcentral.
CCUACGGGUGGCAGCAGUGAGGAAUAUUGGUCAAUGGACGAGAGUCUGAACCAGCCAAGUAGCGUGAAGGAUGACUGCCCUAUGGGUUGUAAACUUCUUUUAUAUGGGAAUAAAGUGUUCCACGUGUGGGAUUUUGUAUGUACCAUAUGAAUAAGGAUCGGCUAACUCCGUGCCAGCAGCCGCGGUAAUACGGAGGAUCCGAGCGUUAUCCGGAUUUAUUGGGUUUAAAGGGAGCGUAGGUGGAUUGUUAAGUCAGUUGUGAAAGUUUACGGCUCAACCGUAAAAUUGCAUUUGAAACUGGCAGUCUUGAGUACAGUAGAGGAGGGCGGAAUUCGUGGUGUAGCGGUGAAAUGCUUAGAUAUCACGAAGAACUCCGAUGGCGAAGGCAGCUCACUGGACUGCAACUGACACUGAGGCUCGAAAGUGUGGGUAGCAAACAGGAUUAGAUACCCGGGUAGUC